Molecule: ribosomal RNA, 850 nt
Filed under: Cephalobothrium sp. n. 3 AW-2016
Lineage: Eukaryota; Metazoa; Platyhelminthes; Cestoda; Lecanicephalidea; Lecanicephalidae
Description: partial 16S ribosomal RNA
Rfam family: Archaeal large subunit ribosomal RNA (bases 599-850)
Source: RNAcentral
CUAAUCGAUUUUAUUAAAUAACCUUUUUAUACCGAAAGUAUUUGAUUUUAUUAUUAAUUGAGUUUAAAGCUCUUUAUAGAUUCGAGUAGAUUUUAAGUAAAUUAAUAUUACGUUGUGAUAAAUUAUUCGGUUAUACUUAUAUCUGUUUAACAACUUUAUAUAUUAUAUUAUUUUUUAGGCAAUGAUGUCUGAAAUUAUUAAAUAUCUUUUCUAUUUUGUUUUAAAUAAAGGGUUAAAAUUACCCAUUAUUUAUAAUUGUUUUACAACUUUGUAUUUUAGUCAUUAAUGAUUUUUUUUUAUAGGUUGGUAGUUAUAAUUUUUAGCAUUAUACAAUGAUUAAAUAAGUAAUAUUAACACAAUUCAUGUAUCUCAUUAAUUGCCUGUCUGUUUAUUAAAAACAUUUCCACUCGGAAACUUGUGUGGUAGUACCUGCUCUAUGCAAAUGUAAAUGGCCGCAGUAUCUUGACUGUGCGAAGGUAGCAUAAUUAAUUGCCCUAUAAUUGAGGGCUUGUUUGAAUGGUUUGACAAGGUAGUAUUUAACAUGAAUUGUUUACUUGAAUUUAAUAAUGGGGGCACAGAAUCCCCUUAAAUUUAAUUAGACGGAAAGACCCCGGGAUCUUUUAUUUUUGUCUGGGGCAGAUUAUGAUGUUUCAUUUAUAAAUUAGACCCUAAUGGUGCAUUGGUGUAAGUUACCCCGGGGAUAACAGUGUAAUAAUUUAUUAGAGGCCUUAUCGAAUAAAUUGUUUGCCACCUCGAUGUUGACUUAGGUUUAAACUUAGGCGCAGUAGUUUAAGUUUUUGGUCUGUUCGACCUUAGUUUACCUCCAUGAGUUGAGUUAAGACCGGCGUGA